GCCUCGCCGGGCUCACGUAGUCACGGUGGGUGUAGGACGUGAUGCAGGAGGCGCACUCGAAGAUGUAGACGAUGAGCAUGAGCACCAGUGUCCCCAUCCCCCCACCCCUGGGGUCUCACCGUGAGGACCAUGGACCGGCGGCGGCAGAAUGCGGCGCCCACACCAAAACUGGCUACCAUGAAGAAGGAGAAGCCGCAGAAGAUGGCAAUCCAGGCACCAGCGAAGAUGUCAUCCUUGCCUGAGACUCCCAUCAGUGGGUAUACACGGUACUGGUCGGCUGUCACCCAUAUGGUCUCAGCAAACAGGGCCAGGCCUGACAGCUGGACAGAGCGGUGGGUUAGGAAGGUCUGCUCGGGGCCAGCAGCCCUGACACUAGGCAUCUCCACGAGCAAGUUCCUUCCCCAUUUGGAGCCUCCACUGCCCUCUCAGUAAAGUGGGCAAAGACCUCGCCUUCCAUGAGCAGCGAUGAGGGUGAGCAGAGGCCAGGAGAGAAGAGACAGCCCAGCCAGACAACCGACCCCCACGCCCCAGCUGCCAGUUUCUUCGGGGAUAAAAGGGGAUGCCACGUGGAAAGGCUGGAGCAGUGGACUGGCACAGAGGAGAUGCUUGGUCCAUCUGCCCUCCCUUGACGGUGCUGUUAUUCCCCGAGGAGGGGAACAUGGCCAUGGCCAUAAACAUUACAAAUGGGCCAGGCAAGGUGGCUCACACCUGCAGUCCCAGCAUUGUGGGAGGCCGAGGCGGGAGGAUUGCUUGAGCCCAGGAGUUUGAGACUAGCCUGGGCAAUAGUGAGACCCCAUCUCUACAAAAAAUAAAAAAAUUAGCUAGA
Pan troglodytes (chimpanzee) is the source of this 826-nucleotide long non-coding RNA. RefSeq lists it as uncharacterized. The transcript is spliced from 2 exons. The record is from RefSeq and is a predicted model, not a curated record. NCBI's taxonomy places the organism in Eukaryota, Metazoa, Chordata, Mammalia, Primates, Hominidae.